Clupea harengus (Atlantic herring) is the source of this 1977-nucleotide long non-coding RNA. Lineage: Eukaryota; Metazoa; Chordata; Actinopteri; Clupeiformes; Clupeidae. The record is from Ensembl.
GCUCUUAGCUUGACUGUUCUCUCCAUUGUACGUCGCUUUGGACAAAAGCGUCUGCUAAAUGACUAAAUGUAAAUGUAAAUGAUUUCAACUGGACCAACACCAGGACCCAUUUUAACUGGACCAACACCAGGACCCAUUUCAACCGGACCAACACCAGGACCCAUUUCAACCGGACCAACACCAGGACGACUCCAGCUCUCAUUUCCAUGCCUCUGGCAGACAUCCUGCACUGACCCGUACCACAUCGGAUGAGCUGCUGGCCUGCUUCCUGUCCUGUGGUGGGUUAGGGCCGUUCUGCUUCCUGUCUACUUCCUGUGGUGGGUUAGGGCUGUUCUGCUUCCUGUCUACUUCCUGUCCUGUGGUGGGUUAGGGCCGUUCUACUUCCUGUCUACUUCCUUUCCUGUAGUGGGAUAGGGCCGUUCAGCUUCCUGUCCUGUGGUGGGUUAGGGCCGUUCUGCUUCCUGUCCUGUGGCAGGACCACAUCUCACUCCUAACAACAUUUGUGCUUUACUGAUUACUGUCUUGGACCCAUUUCACACUGAUGUGGCUGCUCCUGCUCCAGAUGCUCCUGCUCCAGAUGCUGCUCCAGAUGUUGCUGCUGCUGAUCCAGAUGCUGCUGCUCCAGAUGUUCCUGCUGCUGAUCCAGAUGUGGAUGAUUCAGAGGCGUCAGCACACGGCCAUGCUUCACGGUGCAUCUCCUCUGAGACGAGAGGGCAGACCUUAACGGCCUUCUCACAUUUCAGAGGCAGAGCUGAGAGAUGACGUCUGAGAGAUGAUGUGGUAGAUGACUCCAGUCGUCUGUCGUGGUGGUGCUUCGCUAAAGAGAUGGUGAUUGAGGCGAUUGAGCUUCACACUGUACGGCAGCUGGUGCCGGCGCAGAUGCGGCGCGGAUCCCGAGGCUGGGAGCCCAGUGCCGCUGGCGUGUGAUUGAUUCUCUGCUGCGUGGCGGUGAAGCCCGGCUGAUGGGGAUCCGGAACCAAUCCCACCUCCCUCUCAAAAUGGGAAAGCGUGUUUGGGAUUCAGAAAAGAAACUGCAAUCUGUGUUGCUUCUGUCGCAGGAUAUGCUUGAGGUCACUCUGUGUUUGGGUGUGUGUUUGUGUGUGUGUGUGUGUGUGUGUGUGUGUGUGUGUGUUUGUGUGUGUGUUUGUGUUUGUGUGUGUGUGUGUUUGUGUGUGUGUGUUUGGGUGUGUGUGUGGGUGUGUUUGGGUUUGUGUGCGUGUGUGUUUGUGUGUGUGUGUGUUUGGGUUUGUUUGUGUCUGUGUUUGUUUGGGUGUGUGUGUGUGUGUGUGUGUUUGGUUGUGUGUGUGUGUGUGUUUGGGUGUGUGUGUGUGUUUGGGUGUGUGCGUGUGUGUGUGUGUGUGUGUGUGUGUGUGUUUGGGUGUGUGUCUGUGUUUGGGUGUGUGUUUGGGUGUACGUGUGUGCAGUGGUCGGGUAGUGGUCUGUCCCAUCUGCAACCUGACAGACAUAAAAAUGAAGCCAGAAUGAAGAGCUUGAACGCGUGAAUUCCUUCCUGAUUCUCAAUCGUUGAUCAGUAAAUGAAGACAAAUGGCUUAUCAGCGGAUCAUGAUGUCCUAAUUACUUAAUAGGAUUAGUCUACAUUUCAUCAAAUCCACUUCCAUUCUAUUCCCCUAUCAUAAUAAUUACAUUUGCAGAUAAUUAUGAUUAAUCCGUUUUUGGAGUAAAGUUUUGCCAGAAGGAAAUGUGUCUGUGUAGAGUUGUGAAAGACUUUCUUGGAUGUUUCUGUUUCUGUGUGUGUGUGUGUGUGUGUGUGAGUGUGAGAAACAGCAUCUGCCAACUGUUGUCAGCCCCAAAAGCAGAACCCCCUAGAGGCCCUCCGCUCACACACACACACACACACACUUACACAUACUCAUACACACUCACACUCUCACACACACUUUAAUGUUUCUUUAUGCUUCAAGUGAGUCAAGUUUUGCUUAAAGAGAGAAAGACAGACUGCGCCUGUCUGUGUGAGAG